Non-coding RNA from Lactuca sativa (garden lettuce), 350 nucleotides. The record is from RefSeq and is a predicted model, not a curated record. NCBI's taxonomy places the organism in Eukaryota, Viridiplantae, Streptophyta, Magnoliopsida, Asterales, Asteraceae.
UUUCUCUAUAGAUCAGUUUUCCGAUUACCUGCUGCCUCUAAUAAAUUGCCAUUGAAACGAACAAAUAUGCAAAGUCAAAACUUCUCCUUCUUUGUCGAUACUUAAUCGCCUUCCACCGCCAUUUACAGAUGCCAACACUAGGCCUUAACAGUGUAAAAGUCAAGAUCAACAAGGUGCUCAGAAUUUGUGGGAGUGAUGUUCAACCCUUCAAGAUGUUUCAAGCUUUAACUAGGGAUCCCUUAGCAUCCUUGAGUUUAUAAAUUUAUGCAACUCCUUGUAUAAAGUUAUUCUCAUACAAUGCAAUUAUGACAGAAUGUCAAUCUCACGAAGUGUCAAUCUCACAGAAUAAU